Molecule: long non-coding RNA, 2976 nt
Organism: Tyto alba (common barn owl)
Lineage: Eukaryota; Metazoa; Chordata; Aves; Strigiformes; Tytonidae
Exons: 4
Source: RefSeq, a predicted model, not a curated record
GUGUUGGUACUGGGGGCACCUCGAGCAAUGUUAGAUAGGCAAUCCACCGAUAACAUUUGGAAAUUGGUGGAAUUGCUGGCGGGGAGAUUCGAGAAUGAGGGGAAAUGCCGGUGACUCUGCUCCCUGGGGAAGGGAAAUGUAACCCUUUUGUGACAUCGGGAGGGGAACUGAGAGAGUUAAAAGCUAGAGGUUGCUGUUUGGGGUUUGGGCUGCCCAUUUGGCAUGGUGAAUUUGUAUUAAUGGUUUGUUGGUAAGGAGCUUUAUAUACAUAUUCUUGUGGGUCCCAGGUAGGUAACUUUAGAAUUUUUAAUUGAUACAGGGCUCCAAACUAGUGUUUUAAAUCGGCGGUAAGAUUCUGAGUUAGGAUUUAAAUUAUCAAGGAAGAUUAUAAAUACAGUAGGUGUGUGUAAUGGGGGUAAUGGAAAAAAGUUGCACAGUGCAAACGUAGUUUUGGUUAUUAGGGGUAAAAGAGGAUGAUAGCUGUGGAGGUGGCUUUAAGCCCUUAUAAGGGAAACAGAUUGGAGUUUGGUGUGUUGUUAGGUAAACAGUGGUGUUUGCCUGUGGAAGACGAAAAACAUGUAGACUGCAGAGGAAUUAAUGGCAUGAGACUUUGCAGUACAAAAGAAGAACAAGAAAAACAAAGGGCAACUAGGAGUUAAAUCGAACUGCACGGAUUAGCAUCUGUGAAAGGGGACCAAUUGAGCUUGAGCGAGUCCUGGGAACAAAAACCAUUCAAAACAUAAGGACUUGGCUCAGACUUUUAAAUGCCAGCUGCAUUCUAUUUUUACAUGGGAACAGAGCACCACUGGGGGAAAGAAGGGGCCUCCCCCUCUUUGGAAAGCAUAAAAUCACACUGUUUCUUUCAAUAAAUGACUUCGUUACUCUCGAGUGCUGAGAAAUGAACAGAAAUAUGACGAAUGAAAAGGAAAUUGAAGAAUGAACAUUCCCGGUGGUAUACUCCUGAGCUGGACGGAGGGAAGGAUAUAUUGAGUACUCAUCAGAGGUUUUCAUCACCGAUCGCUGGAUGACACAGUGGAACAAGCACAAUGUGUUAUUCGUGCCUGUGAGGACUGUCAGCACUUAGUACCUCUUCCUUUAUUACAUGCUACAAAUCCCCAUGGUCUUCAAGCCAACGAAUUAUGGCAAACAGAUGUCACACAUAUUCCAUCCUUUGGAAAACUUAAAUAUGCACAUGUUACAGUUGACACAUUUUUGGGAUUUGUAGUCACCACGGCGCACUCAGGACCGUGGAAUCACCCAUGUAACAGGCAUUCCUCGUUCACCUACAGGACAAGCAGUUGUGGAGCGCAUGCAUCACUUCUUAAAAACUAUGCUUGAAAAACAAAAAAGGGGGAAUCUCCUCCUUUCUCCACAAGAGAGACUAGAUAAAGUGAUGUCACUUAAUUUUUUACAUCUUUCUGGAAUUAAGAAUUACAAAACGGCAGCUCAAAGACGAUUUCAGUUUGCUCAGACUCCUGAGAUAUAUUUGAAAGUUUUUAUAAACAUGUAGAGUCAGGCAAAUGGGACGGGCCUGUACCACUUUUAACAUGGGGACGAGGUUAUGCUUGCGUUUCUCUUCUUUCAGGUCCAUAUUGGAUUCCAGCAAGGAGCGUCAAGCCUGCUCAGACGAUUUUCAGAGACAUCGAAGAAGAUGUAUCUCUGGACACAUGAAGGAUCAAGAAUGAGAAAACAAUGGUGUAUGUUGUGUAUAUGUGUAACGUUAACAUGGAAUGUUCAGGUUGAUGCAAAUGUGUGCUGGGCGCACAUUCUGGAUCCUCCAGUGUUCCGAUUGUUAACCUGAUGGGAUGCUUCUCCACCAAUUAGUAGUAAUGAUACCCAAUGGUCCAGAGGGGUAUGGCUUCCUCCUGCUUCGGAUACUUAAAUGUUUGAAAUGAAUGAAACAACCAUGGUAACAGAUUUUCCUCCUAUAUGUCUCAUUAAUGCCAGUGAUUCAGAAUUUUGUUUAAGGAUGCAACCACAACAACGUCUAGUAGCAAUAAAAAGCAAGACUCGUGAAUUUUGCAAUUGUUACCAUUCCUGGUCUAUCGUUACACAAUAUUACUCCUAUAAAAAACUCAGAGUCCCUGCACCCUUCUAGUUUUCAUCAUUCUUUAGUAUGGCAUAAUGGAGGAUCUGCAGGGUCUGUUCUUCAGUAUUAUUUUUACACUAAUUCACAGCUAUCUCCUGCACAUACUAACCUUUGGCGUCUUGGCUCACCUUUUUUUCAGUGGAAGCUAUAUCAAGUAUCUUUAUAUGAUAGUCAUACUAAUGCUUACUUAACUUUGCUAAGAGAAGAUUCUGUUACAAUGAGCACUACUCACCCUUACUUGAUUGUAAUCGCACCUACUAUUCACAUUAUUUUAUGUAGUCAUUCCUUUUGUGUGAUGUUACACUCUCCCAAGUUUAAGGCAUGCAUAGCACAUACUGAUGUGAUAAACAGUACAUACAUCUUUCUUUUACAGUGGCGUCCAGAGUUAUGGUUACCUGUUAACACGAAACUGGGAAGGCGAGAAUGGCUUAGCCCAAUUUGCUAGGUACUGCAAGUCACGUUAGUUGUCACAAUGCUUCAAUUCCUCUGGUCAGCUCUUCGAAGAGUUAAAAAGGUAGAAGCUCGAGUUAUGGCCACACUGGUUAUAAAAGAAAUGGUCAUAAACAAAAAAGGGGGAGGGGUGGAAGAUGAAAAACAUGUUAACUGCAGAGGAAUUGGCAGCAUGAGACUUUGCAGUACAGAACAAGAACAAGAAGAACAAGGACAACUAGGAGUUAAAGUGAACUUGAUUGAGUGACUCCUGGGAACAAAAACCACCUCAUUCAAAAGAUAAGGACUUGGCUCAGACUUUUGGAUGCCAGCUGCAAAGGACCCUUAUCUUCAUUCUAUUUUUACAUGGGAACAGGGCACAGCUGGGGGAAAGAAGGGGCCUCCCCUUCUUUGGAAAGCAUAGAAUUUUCUUUCAAUAAACGAUUUUGGUACUCUCA